Molecule: ribosomal RNA, 485 nt
Filed under: uncultured bacterium
Lineage: Bacteria
Description: partial 16S ribosomal RNA
Rfam family: Bacterial small subunit ribosomal RNA
Source: RNAcentral
GAUGAACGCUGGCGGCGUGCUUAACACAUGCCAGUCGAACGGGAUCCAAGGGGUGCUUGCACUUUUUGGUGAGAGUGGCGAACGGGUGAGUAACACGUGAGUAACCUGUCCUUUUCUUUGGGAUAAGCAUUCGAAAGGGUGUUUAAUACCUUAUGUUCUGUCUGCCUCGCAUGGGGUGGGUGGGAAAGGCUUUGGCCGGAUUUGGGUGGGCUCGCGGUCUAUCAGCUUGUUGGUGGGGUGAUGGCUUACCAAGGCUUUGACGGGUAGCCGGCCUGAGAGGGUGGUCGGUCACAUUGGGACUGAGAUACGGCCCAGACUCCUGCGGGAGGCAGCAGUGGGGGAUAUUGCACAAUGGGCGAAAGCCUGAUGCAGCGACGCCGCGUGGGGGAUGAAGGCCUGCGGGUUGUAAACUUCUGUUGCUCUGAACAAGGCAUGCCAGUGGGUGUGUUGAGUGUAGGGGUUGAUUAGCGCCGGCUAACUACGUG